AAUUAUAAAACUAAUUGUACAAGUUGUGGCUAAUUUGCGAGAUGAAUAUAUUAAACCUAAUUAAUCCAUAAUUAGCACAUAUUUACUGUAGCAUCACAUGGACAAAUCAUGGACUAAUUAGGUUUAAUACAUUCGUCUCACAAAUUAGCCUCCAUUUAUGCAAUUAGUUUUGUAAUUAACCUAUGUUUAAUACUUCUAAUUAGUAUCAAACAUUUGAUGUGAUAUGGACUAAAUUUUAGUCCAUGUCUCCAAACAGAACCUAAUUAGUUUAGUUACUUUGUGCAAACUAAAAGCCCUUCUACCUAUAUAGGCUAUAGGGUUCAAAUGUGCAAGGCAACGAGUCUCCUAGACAUCGUUCUGUACUGAGAUUUGUGCCGGGAGCAUUAAAAUCCAUAUAAACACACAUCGGCUGUCAACGUCACUUUGCUAGGAUCUUCCCACCUUUUCACUCAAAUUCUAUGUAUCCAGCUAUCUUACUAUUACUAAUUGGAGAUUUCUUAAAAGAUUCUAGGUGAAGCCACCUAGAAUCCUCGGUGGAUACUCUAGAAAAAGAGAGAACUCCUAGAAAUUCUCAUAAAAAGCAAAACAUUGUGCCAUCAAUCGGUAGAAUAAAAUCAUCAAAGCCAUUGGAUCUAUUAUGUUUUAUAAAAAAUUAUCCACCUAUACCAUUAUAAAAUAGUCUAAAGUAACCAUCUAAAUCUAUAUCUAAAUUACCCACCUCUACCAUUAUUAAAAUAAAAUAAAUUAAUUCCUAAUCUUCAUCAAAAUUGCCCACUUAUGCCAUUACAAAAAUAAUUUAAAAUAACCCCCUAAAUGUGCAACUAAAUUGCCCAUAACUAAUACUUAAAAAUAACCUUUUUAAAGUAACCCCUUAAAUUUGCAUCUCAUACGUCAUUAAUAAAAAUAACAUGAGGUAACCUUAAAUUUUAAUCCAAAU
RNAcentral lists this long non-coding RNA (937 nucleotides) under Setaria viridis. RNAcentral describes it as "long non-coding RNA (SVIR_LNC002166)". Lineage: Eukaryota; Viridiplantae; Streptophyta; Magnoliopsida; Poales; Poaceae. The record is from RNAcentral.